AGUGAACGCUGGCGGUAGGCCUAACACAUGCAAGUCGAACGGCAGCACAGUAAGCGCUUGCUCUUACGGGUGGCGAGUGGCGGACGGGUGGGGAAUACAUCGGAAUCUACUUUUUCGUGGGGGAUAACGUAGGGAAACUUACGCUAAUACCGCAUACGACCUACGGGUGAAAGCAUGGGAUCUUCGGACCUUGCGCGAUUGAAUGAGCCGAUGUCGGAUUAGCUAGUUGGCGGGGUAAGGGCCCACCAAGGCGACGAUCCGUAGCUGGUCUGAGAGGAUGAUCAGCCACACUGGAACUGAGACACGGUCCAGACUCCUACGGGAGGCAGCAGUGGGGAAUAUUGGACAAUGGGCGCAAGCCUGAUCCAGCCAUACCGCGUGGGUGAAGAAGGCCUUCGGGUUGUAAAGCCCUUUUGUUGGGAAAGAAAAGCAGCAGGUUAAUACCCCGCUGUUCUGACGGUACCCAAAGAAUAAGCACCGGCUAACUUCGUG
RNAcentral lists this ribosomal RNA (492 nucleotides) under uncultured bacterium. Its description in RNAcentral is "partial 16S ribosomal RNA". It matches the Rfam family "Bacterial small subunit ribosomal RNA", at positions 29 to 507 of the family's 1533-position model. The record is from RNAcentral.